AGUGCAAUAAAGAAAGAUGUUAAAACAGAGUCGAGAUAGGGGAAUAAUGUUUAAUUGGCUCUCCAGAGUCCACUAAUUUUCAGAAUUGGAAACCUAGUGUUUGAUUUGUUCUUUUUAGUCAGCAAGAAGAAAAAAUAUCCUUCAUAAAUUCUGAAUGACAAAUUUGCCCAUCCUUUUUUGCAUGUGGUUCCAGCAUCCCAGGGAAUCUAAAGUGUCAUUUCCUCUCUGGAAGAAAGGAAGCACAAAACAUGCUAGGACACAAUUGGAGAAACUGAUUAUUUUACCAAGGCUUUGACUGGAAUGGCAUGCUUCCUUUAAAAAAUUCAAGCUUGACUUAUACAGCCAAUUAAGCCCUGUUGGGGAAUCUGGCCUCAUACCUUGUCCACACAGAGUCCUUGUACAAGGUUCCUGACCUGUGAAAGAAGAAAGAGCUUUAACAGACAUUUGAUAAUGAAUUGUUACUUCUUACACGUUUAUAUAUAAACCCUUGACUGUCAAUGCUAUAAAAGACAAUUCAAAAGGAAGAAAUGCAAUUAUAUUGAAACACCAUUCAAAACAUCACAACAAGAAAUGCAGUCUACUAUAAACUG
RNAcentral lists this long non-coding RNA (590 nucleotides) under Pongo abelii (Sumatran orangutan). RNAcentral describes it as "lincRNA". Lineage: Eukaryota; Metazoa; Chordata; Mammalia; Primates; Hominidae. The record is from RNAcentral.